AACAAACAUACACAACAAUGGCGGAGUACAUGGUAGUGUUGCUGCUGCUCAAGAGUUUGCUAACGCUUCUUCAGCAAAGUGUGGAUUUACUUCACCAAUAUUACAACCAACUAACAAGAUCCAUUUACAUAGCUGAUUUGGUGAAUGGCAAACUGAGGCCAAGCAGGAUGGUGGUAGUCCGUUUCACUGAAUAAGAUGCUCUUGGAAGUUAUGAUCCUGUAAUUCUCCCCAAUGCCUAGGGUAAUGAGAUACUUAACCCUGAAGGAACCAAAAGUACAUUUUACAAUUUAUGUUUGUAUUUUUAAGCCGCUUAAAAUAUCAAGAAUGAUGUGGCCAUCAUUGGGUCAUGUCAUCCCCUGUACCCGGGGUCCCUCUAUUGGAAGUAGAAUGCCCACAAGGUUUUUGCCAUUGCAGAGCAAGUUCCUAGGCAGCAAGAGGAAGAGAAGGUACAGAACCAAUAUUUGUGAGUACAUUUCUCACCUGCACAAGUCAAUACUAAUCUAAUUAAAACAAUUACCUUUUAGUCAAAAAGAUGAUGAUACUUCAGGUCUACAAGAUGUCUAUGAUAAGAUAGAAGAGGUGGUGCUGGCCUCACAGGGCCUUCAGCAAGUUAUCUCAGCUGUCAAAGAGCUGUCUGAGCUGUCCAGUCAAACACCUGCCUUCACUGAAGUCCAAACAAAGAAAAUAAAAGCAGUUUUCACUUGCAUAGUGUGCAAGGGACCCAUUGAUCAUCCAGUAUUUGCCACCUGCUGUAGAAGCCUGAUUGGAUGCAAGCUUUGUGUUGACCAGUGGAUGGCUACUGCAUCACAGUGUUUGAAAUGCAGGGAGGAAAACAAUUUCUUUCUUGCAGCUGGUCUUUCUGAAGCAUUGUUAUCUCUUAGUGACAUCAUUAAGGUAGAGUAGGCUAACAAGAAAUACAAAUGUAAGUUACCUGUGUUUAUCAGCAUCAAACUAGUACAUUUUAUGUUUCUAGAAAGAGCAUUUAAUGGAAAAUGGCAAAAUAAACAUGGCUUUUAAGAAUAUCUUUGUGUUAGAGUGACUAGAGAGAUCAAAGCCUCUUUAAAAGGCACAAAGCUUUUGAUGACUGCAUUAUUGAGCCUUCUUAUGUUCACUUGUGAAAAGGUCUACCAAAGGCAGAAACCCUGGUUAAAGAGGAUCCCAGUGUGUCCAUGUACAAGUCAGCUGCUUCAAUUCCAUGGGGCAGUAGUGCUGCUGAGAUUCUUUUGCACAACCACCCUGUGCAAUAUGGUUGGGGAUUGUUAAUUUUUUAUAAAUUUCAACUGCUUGUGAA
Molecule: long non-coding RNA, 1291 nt
Organism: Pangasianodon hypophthalmus (striped catfish)
Lineage: Eukaryota; Metazoa; Chordata; Actinopteri; Siluriformes; Pangasiidae
Exons: 3
Source: RefSeq, a predicted model, not a curated record